GACGAACGCUGGCGGCGUGCUUAACACAUGCAAGUCGAACGGAAAGGCCCCCACCUUGGUGGGGGUGCUCGAGUGGCGAACGGGUGAGUAACACGUGGGUGAUCUGCCCUGUACUUCGGGAUAAGCUUGGGAAACUGGGUCUAAUACCGGAUAGGACCAUGGUUUAGUGUCUCAUGGUGGAAAAAUUAUUGUUUUGGUGCAGGGUGAGCUCGCGGCCUAUCAGCUUGUUGGUGGGGUAAUGGCCUACCAAGGCGUCGACGGGUAGCCGGCCUGAGAGGGUGGACGGCCACAUUGGGACUGAGAUACGGCCCAGACUCCUACGGGAGGCAGCAGUGGGGAAUAUUGCACAAUGGGCGCAAGCCUGAUGCAGCGACGCCGCGUGGGGGAUGACGGCCUUCGGGUUGUAAACUCCUUUCGUUAGGGACGAAGCCACACCUUUUUUGGGUGUGGUGACGGUACCUUUGUGAAGAAGCACCGGCUAACUACGUG
This 489-nucleotide ribosomal RNA is filed under the name uncultured bacterium. RNAcentral describes it as "partial 16S ribosomal RNA". It matches the Rfam family "Bacterial small subunit ribosomal RNA", at positions 28 to 507 of the family's 1533-position model. The record is from RNAcentral.